Molecule: long non-coding RNA, 531 nt
Filed under: Phasianus colchicus (ring-necked pheasant)
Lineage: Eukaryota; Metazoa; Chordata; Aves; Galliformes; Phasianidae
Description: lncRNA (ENSPCLG00000022024.1)
Source: RNAcentral
CUGUCACUAUAUGAAUAUCCUGGAGGUCAAGUUAAUUAUUAUUUUUUUAAAUAUUUUGCAGGCUCUGUGCAAUUCAAUACAGUGUCACACUUGGUGCGUGCCAGCUUUGCGCCUGAAGUAAAAGAGCCAGGGAACUGUACCAGAUCAGACCUCCGAGGAAGAAGCUUUUGCUGGAAUCCAUGACCACACAGAAGGAAAAUGGAGACAGCAACCUUGUCUCCCAAAGGUGUUGUGGGACUUCUCACCUUCUGGAAAUCCUGCUUGCACGGCUGCUUCAUUCCACUGUUUUCCCAGAUUGAUGCUUUACCUUACUGAUUUGCUGUGGAAGGAUUACCAUCGCAGCUUGUCCGCACUGCUCAAACGUGGUAAGUGCAGAGAUGAAAAUAUGAGCUCAUUUCUUUAGAGAGACUGUGUAGUUCUGAAACUACUGGAAAGUAUGUAUACAUUGGGAGGGGGAAGAGAGAAAAGCUGUUUAGGUUUUAUUGCUUUGAUUUGAAUAAAAAAGAGAUUCUUCUGUAAGAGCUGGAGGUU